UACGAAGGGGGCUAGCGUUGCUCGGAAUCACUGGGCGUAAAGGGUGCGUAGGCGGGUCUUUAAGUCAGGGGUGAAAUCCUGGAGCUCAACUCCAGAACUGCCCUUGAUACUGAGGAGCUCGAGUCCGGAAGAGGUGAGUGGAACUGCGAGUGUAGAGGUGAAAUUCGUAGAUAUUCGCAAGAACACCAGUGGCGAAGGCGGCUCACUGGUCCGGUACUGACGCUGAGGUGCGAAAGCGUGGGGAGCAAACAGG
Molecule: ribosomal RNA, 253 nt
Filed under: uncultured bacterium
Lineage: Bacteria
Description: partial 16S ribosomal RNA
Rfam family: Bacterial small subunit ribosomal RNA
Source: RNAcentral